AUUGAACGCUGGCGGCAGGCCUAACACAUGCAAGUCGAACGGUAACAGGAAGAAGCUUGCUUCUUUGCUGACGAGUGGCGGACGGGUGAGUAAUGUCUGGGAAACUGCCUGAUGGAGGGGGAUAACUACUGGAAACGGUAGCUAAUACCGCAUAACGUCGCAAGACCAAAGAGGGGGACCUUCGGGCCUCUUGCCAUCGGAUGUGCCCAGAUGGGAUUAGCUAGUAGGUGGGGUAACGGCUCACCUAGGCGACGAUCCCUAGCUGGUCUGAGAGGAUGACCAGCCACACUGGAACUGGGCCACGGUCCAGACUCCUACGGGAGGCAGCAGUGGGGAAUAUUGCACAAUGGGCGCAAGCCUGAUGCAGCCAUGCCGCGUGUAUGAAGAAGGCCUUCGGGUUGUAAAGUACUUUCAGCGGGGAGGAAGGGAGUAAAGUUAAUACCUUUGCUCAUUGACGUUACCCGCAGAAGAAGCACCGGCUAACUCCAUG
RNAcentral lists this ribosomal RNA (490 nucleotides) under uncultured bacterium. RNAcentral describes it as "partial 16S ribosomal RNA". It matches the Rfam family "Bacterial small subunit ribosomal RNA", at positions 30 to 507 of the family's 1533-position model. The record is from RNAcentral.